UCCGGUUGAUCCUGCCGGAGGCUACCGCUAUUGGAGUUCGAUUAAGCCAUGCGAGUCGCGAGAAAUUAGAUUCUCGGCGUACCGCUCAGUAACACGUGGGUAACCUGCCCUAUGCUGGAUAAUAACCUCGGGAAACUGAGAAUAAUGAUCCAUAGUUCACUACGCCUGGAACGGUGAGUGGAUGAAAGCUCCGGCGGCAUAGGAUGGGCCUGCGGCGUAUCAGGUUGUAGGGGGUGUAACGUACCCUCUAGCCCUCUACGCGUACGGGUGUUGGGAGACAUAGCCCGGAGAUGGAUUCUGAGACACGAAUCCAGACCCUACGGGGUGCAGCAGGCGCGAAAACUUGGCAAUGCGAGAAAUCGUGACCAGGGAACUCCAAGUGCAUCGGGUAAGACCGGUGCUUUUCUUGACUCUAAAUAGGUCUUGGAAUAAGGGGUGGGUAAGGACGGUGCCAGCCGCCGCGGUAAUACCGGCGCCUCAAGUGGUAGUCGCUUUUAUUGGGCCUAAAACGUCCGUAGCCGGUCUGAUACAUUCGUGGGUAAAUCAACCAGCUCAACUGGUUGAAUUCUGCGAGGACGGUCAGACUUGGGACCGGGAGAGGUGUGGGGUACGCUCAGGGUAGGGGUAAAAUCCUGUCAUCCUGAGCGGACCACCUGUUGCGAAGGCGCCACACUAGAACGGAUCCGACGGUCAGGGACGAAGCCUAGGGGCACGAACCGGAUUAGAUACCCGGGUAGUCCUAGGUGUAACGCUGUGG
RNAcentral lists this ribosomal RNA (757 nucleotides) under uncultured Candidatus Poseidoniales archaeon. Its description in RNAcentral is "bacterial SSU rRNA". It matches the Rfam family "Archaeal small subunit ribosomal RNA", at positions 1 to 765 of the family's 1478-position model. The record is from RNAcentral. Lineage: Archaea; Methanobacteriati; Thermoplasmatota; Candidatus Poseidoniia; Candidatus Poseidoniales.